Molecule: non-coding RNA, 3261 nt
Organism: Monodelphis domestica (gray short-tailed opossum)
Lineage: Eukaryota; Metazoa; Chordata; Mammalia; Didelphimorphia; Didelphidae
Source: RefSeq, a predicted model, not a curated record
CCUGAUGAAACUGCCCAGAAAAGCACCACUCUUGACCUUGAAAGGAGAAGGGAAAAUACAACAGCCCCGCCGUGGCUUUAAGAAAGCUGACCAAUCCCUGGGCGGCCUCCAAAUGUGCCCGCCUGGUCCCGUCAGUCCAUUUGGACAGUCAGCUGCAUUUCCCUAAAAGGAGACUCUCGUUGAGACUCGCUGAAAAGCAGGAGGUAUCGCGUCAUGCCCACGCCCUACCCCGGAGUCUCCCUGUCUGAGCCCUAAUGCCAGCGCUCACCUAAGCAGGUGUGGCCCAGGGAAACAGCUCUUCGGAUGAGAAAGAGAGACAGCUGAGAAGGAAUGGCGAGGCGUGCUGCAGGGUGCCCAGCGCCCACGGCAUCUCUGCCCAGCAUUAGCCGGUAUCCGUGGCAGUAGGCACCUUGGCCUGAUCCAGCCCUCUGCUGAUGGAAGAAGGCCCAAAGCUCCAAAAGCCAACAUCCCACCCAGAUCGUUUCUCCUGGAUUUUCGCGCUCUGCCCAUUAUCUGCCCCGCAUUGUUUCCUCUUCUUCUUGAAGCCCCGCUGCUCCAGGAGCUGCUCCCGCCCCAACACUCCUGCUGCUUCUUCAGCUGAACACGAUCCUUGAUCAUCGUCCCAGUGAAAGCACCUGGCGAGGCUCCAGAGGGCUGCCUGCCGGCUUCUUCAUUUGAGAUGGAGACCACAGUAAGGAGAGGGAGCUCGGCACCAGGGAGCGAGCCGCUUCCGGAACUUGGGAGCUUCUGGUGGCUACUGACGAGAGGAGACACCCAGCCGAAGGCGAGACUGGAGUCCAGAGACGUGCACCCGAGCAGCAUUUAGAGAGAUCCGCAGCUUGACUGGAAACCUACAGAAAUAAAUGAAUCAAUAUCGCAUGUUCUCAAAGCUCGUUCUUUCCAUUAAAAACACCAUCAAGCCUAUCAAAUGACUUUCAUGCUUUGCUUAUCAAAGUCAAGACAAAAGAGAAGGUUUUAAGCUUUUAUUUGUAUGAACUUCUCCACAAAUUACACAUUGCAGUCAUGGAAAUUCAUCAUCUCCAUGAAAUGAAAAGCUGAACUUAGUGAGUUGCCUCUUUUUCCAUACCAUUAUAAGACAAGAGCCUCAAAGGUCUUUGGGGAUUCUUUCAGAAUUGCGACCUCUCAAAUAUAUUUUACUACCUCCUUGCCUGCAGUGUGCUGAAUCUUGAGAAUCCUCAUGAACACAUUUUUCGCUGUUUCAUACACUUUCAGCCUCAUCUCAAGAUGAUGGCUGCUAUCGUGUUAAAAAAUAAACCACAAAGUUUUCAUUGUUAUAUUUAAUACUCACUAAAUAUGUAGCAAGCAUGUACUAGUACAAUGGAUACAAAUGUAUUUUCUACCAAAUGACUGUUUCGUUGAAGUAGAGAGACGUGGGGACACUUUCCCUAAGCUAAACCCUGCUCUAAUCGGCUUGCAUGGACUUCGGAAGAAAGAACUACUAAACAAUUGAAGAGAAUCAAUCAUUUCAUUACAAAAUAACUGUUUUAUUCUGCUUAAGGAGCAGUUUUAUAGUAAGUAAUAAAUACACUGAAAGCUCAACUGCACCGAUUGGUUCAUUUUAUAAAACGUUUCUUUAUGAACCAACAUUUGUAAGGAAAGAAUCGCUUCCAUCAUACCUUUCCUCUGUUUCUCACUGGCGCACCUUCCACACUCCUGCACAAACUCUGCUGAGUGACUAACCAGUGCUGUCAACCCGCUCUUCUACAGUUGUGCCAGACAGAAGAAUAGCCAACAAGAGCAUAAGAUCGGUUUCCAUUCGGCAUCAGUCCUAAUGCUGCCAGGAGGGCCAACGCAAGUGUGGUUUCUCCAGAGUUCACGGCAGUCUGUGACGAUUUCCGAUGGCUUGUCAUGUGCACACGGAGUGACGAUCCCUUUCAAACAGCCUGGCGUAUGCAUCGCAAGAGCACACGUGUUUGUAUUCCAUGAUUACCCACAUACUCAGGUAUGGUUUGGGGAUAACAAGGGCAAGAGGCACUGCACGGAGGCAGAGUCCAUCAUACAAGUAAGGGCAGGUAGGCACGUGCAUCUGAACUCAGGAAGAAUCGCUCUGUGCUUAAUGUCAGUGUUUGGGGUGGUUUGGAAAAAUGUGAUGAUAAUUUGAGAAAGUGCAGAAAUAUGUCGCACUCGUUCAGAAAGAAGCAGUCGGAUUGAGUGAAUGGAACAGAAUGUGUACCUACCUACUCUGCUGUGGAAACCCAUUCCUGGGGGACAUCAUCCCCUACCCUUUGGCUGGCCACACACGUGUGUACCAGAGGAGGACUCCAGAGUUGGGACGCGGAGUCCUGGUCCAUGGAAGGGGCUGCCGGGCAUCCCCCAGCUAAGGGGGGGGGGGGGGGAGGGCAAGUCCAGAAGUCAAGAAUUGGACCGAGACUGAGAUUUAGAUUAUCCAAACAGACGGUGCCAAGAGGAGAGCUGAAAACUGGCUCUAUAAGAGAAGGGACAGAGGAAGCGCUCACUUCCUUGCUGGAUGUGAGCAUCUCUCUCCCUUCUCUGGAGCAUUUAACACUUGGCAUGUACUGACUUGUCUCCUACUUGGAGAUCGAGUCUGGGACAUGUAGAAGCAGCUUUUAGUUAGGCACAGCCUGGUAAUCAUGUGAUCUUCCUCUCUCUCUCUCUCCUAUAUUUAGUAAUAAAUAAUUAUAAAUUAAUAGACAGUCCCCAAAUAAUUUUAUCAUAACAGAUUCAGAUCAUUUCUAUGUGCACUUGAUCAUGAGGGUUUCAAGUCACUUGAAACAAAUAUUAUACAUGUAUUUCUCAAAGAAGAAAAUAUAUUUAAAACGUAAAUUAAAAAAUAUUUACCAUUUAAAUUUUAUCACAAAUCCCUUAGAAUAUCUUUGUGAAUCCCUCAGGGGUUUAUGGACUACUAAAUAGAAGCCAGUGGUCUAGUGUGUUGCACAGGACACUCAGAAGUUCAAUCAAUUGCCCAAGGUCAAAAAGGCAGCAUAUAGCCAAGGUUCCCACCUCCUCCUGACUUUGAGGAUAGCCCUUCUUAUGUUCUAUAUUUUAUUCUAUUACUAUAUUCUAUAAUUGACAAAAACAAAUGUUGAAAUAUUUUAUGGAAACAGAUUUCCAUUCUCAGAGUGUGUCUUGUGUUUUAUGUAUUGUUAGUUUGUGACAAAUGAAAUUCCAUAAGGCUUUUAAUGUAAGGAAGCAAUGAAUCUGAACAAUUCCUAUUUUUUAAAUUCUCUUUUCUAGAUGUAUUAUUUACAAUAAUUUCAAAUAAAAAACCUCUGGCAUCUG